AGGGUUAAUUUCUCCAUUUUAUAAAGUACUGCCAGCAAGAUUCUGGAAGAGUUUUGGUCUUUGCUGAUGAAACGGAAACUCAGAGAGUAGCGACAAGAAGAAUGGAUGUUUCUCCUGUAAAUGUACCACAGGGUCUGUUGACAUUCCAGAAUGUGGCUUUGAACUUCUCCCCAUGAAGAGUAGGAAUUUCUGGACUCUGCUCAGAAGACCUUGUGCAUGGAUGUGGUGUUGGAGAAUUAUAGCAAUCUAGUCUUGUGGAUAAAGAUGCUUUUCUUAUAGAAUGCCUGAUACAUCCUUUUAUUUGCCUGUUUUGUAUAUAUGUAAUAUAUAUACAAAAUAUUCCAGAAACUCCAGAAAUAUCCAGAGACUCCCAGAUAUAAGAGGAAUUUUGGAAAUAAAACA
Molecule: non-coding RNA, 402 nt
Organism: Arvicanthis niloticus (Nile rat)
Lineage: Eukaryota; Metazoa; Chordata; Mammalia; Rodentia; Muridae
Source: RefSeq, a predicted model, not a curated record